RNAcentral lists this ribosomal RNA (696 nucleotides) under uncultured bacterium. RNAcentral's name for it is "bacterial SSU rRNA". It matches the Rfam family "Bacterial small subunit ribosomal RNA", at positions 91 to 803 of the family's 1533-position model. The record is from RNAcentral.
GAAAGCGGCGGACGGGUGAGUAACGCGUAGGCAACCUGCCCUUUGCAGAGGGAUAGCCACUGGAAACGGUGAUUAAUACCUCAUAAAGCUAAGAUGUCACAUGACAAAGUAGCCAAAGAUUUAUCGGCAAAGGAUGGGCCUGCGUCUGAUUAGUUAGUUGGUGAGGUAACGGCUCACCAAGGCGACGAUCAGUAGCCGACCUGAGAGGGUAAUCGGCCACAUUGGAACUGAGACACGGUCCAAACUCCUACGGGAGGCAGCAGUGGGGAAUAUUGCACAAUGGGGGAAACCCUGAUGCAGCAACGCCGUGUGAACGAAGAAGGCCUUAGGGUCGUAAAGUUCUGUCCUAAGGGAAGAAGAAAGUGACGGUACCUUAGGAGGAAGCCCCGGCUAACUACGUGCCAGCAGCCGCGGUAAUACGUAGGGGGCAAGCGUUAUCCGGAAUUAUUGGGCGUAAAGAGUACGUAGGUGGCUAUGUAAGCGCAGGGUGAAAGGCAGUGGCUUAACCAUUGUUAGCCUUGCGAACUGCAAAGCUUGAGUGCAGGAGAGGAAAGCGGAAUUCCUAGUGUAGCGGUGAAAUGCGUAGAUAUUAGGAGGAACACCAGUGGCGAAGGCGGCUUUCUGGACUGUAACUGACACUGAGGUACGAAAGCGUGGGUAGCAAACAGGAUUAGAUACCCUGGUAGUCCACGCCGU